Molecule: non-coding RNA, 1742 nt
Organism: Camellia sinensis
Lineage: Eukaryota; Viridiplantae; Streptophyta; Magnoliopsida; Ericales; Theaceae
Source: RefSeq, a predicted model, not a curated record
UCACCAAACCAUUUCAAGACUUGGCUUUAGUUGCUAUGCCAAGGUCGGCAACACUGGAGCAACGACUCAGGCCAGCGACCAAGAUGCUAUUCAAGCGUGGCCAAUUCGAGCUGUGGGUUACAAAGAUCAGACAACAAUGAGUGAAACCUUCAAUUUCUUGUGGCCGGUUCGAUCUCCGCUAUAUGAGGAGUAGAGAGGAAAUGAUUCAUUUCCCAAAAACCCAAUUUCGUGAAGAAGCUUUGAAGAACAAAUAAAAGACAAGAGAACCACCUACCUACAUUCCAUCUUUUUGUGGUGAAAACGAUGUCGAGGUAUGUUCCUCCACUCAACUUUAUAAAUGUUAGGGCUUACAAGUUUUACAAUAAAGGAUGGCAUUCUUCAUUGUGACAUUUGACCGGAUGUUUUUUUAAUAGUUAGAAUACAAACAUGUUGUUCAAUAAGUGGUUAGCAACACAUACACAAGAUAACCGUAUUUUAGCCAUGUCAAUUAAAUUUUGUACAACUGCUGCAAGUUAUGCUCCUUUUAUAGUUGAAAUGUGCAAUACUAUUACAGUAUGUAGAAAAAUAAUUUGUUUUAUGCCUCAAUUUUGUCUACAAUCAAAUGUUGUUUCGUUACAAAUUCAACAAGUUUUCAUUCGUGCAUAAAUUUAUCGCCGACAUUUCUUUUAAAAUUUUGAGAAUUGUAUGUUUAGAAACUAAGACCUCAUGACUGAAUUAAACCCAUCAGUUUUGGGGCUAUCAUAUAAGGAUUGGUGCAUGUAUUUCAUAGAUGGACAGUGAUGAUGCACAAGAGUUGAAGUUGUGGCCAAGCAAGAUUGAGUUGGCCUUCAUACAAAUCAUGGUGGAAGAGGUGAAGCAAGAUCCUUCCUUAACUAGGAAAAACUAUUUCACUACAAGGCAUUGGAGUCGGAUUGACGAUGAGAUGUACAAGCAGUUUAAAGUUAAGUACACAAUUAGUCGUUCAAAGCAAAAGUACUAACGCAUCAGGCAAUCCUACAAUACCUUUGUCAAAUUGAAGAACCAUACGAGAUUUGGAUGGGAUGACCAGAGAAAAAGAGUCACGGCCCCUGAUGACAUUUGGGAUCAAUAUGUUAAGGUGCAUCCCAAAGCUAAAUUUUUUAGGGAAAAACGACUAGAUAACAUGGACUUGUUAGAUGUCCUGUUUGCAAAUUCCCAAGCCACUGGUGCACUUGCUUGUAUUUCAACCCAAGGACCCCCAACCUCUGAUGAAGAAAGGGAUAUUCAAAGUGCAUUCUUUGGUGUUGGUAUCAAUUGUACUACCAAAUCUUUUCAUGCUGAUGAUGAAAUUGAAGGAGAUGAUAACCCCAAGGUGGGUAGGAGUGGCGGUAAUGAUGGUGGGCGAAAGGGCGCACACAUGGAUUUGGCACUCGAUGCAUGGACUGCCACAAAUCUUGCAAAAAAAGAAUUUUAUAUGGUAAGGAGCAAAAUGUCUGAAGCGAGUGAAGCCGACAAGAAUCGGUACUCCAUCGAUGCAUGUAUGGACUAUUUAGCAACAAUGGAAGGAAUCAAUCCCGGCCAAUAUGUAAAGCCAUGUGAGAGCUUCCGCGAUAAACAAACUAGAAAAAUGUUCAUCAGGAUGCCUCCAAUAUAAAGAUGCAUUGGGGUUCUUAAGUCAGCUUAGGAAUGAACUUCAAAAAUGGCUGCAAUUUUGUCUUGUUGUGUAAUGCCUCGAAAUAAUUAACAUUAACCUAUCUCAUAAUAGUGCUACAAUUGAUCAACAA